Molecule: ribosomal RNA, 468 nt
Filed under: uncultured bacterium
Lineage: Bacteria
Description: partial 16S ribosomal RNA
Rfam family: Bacterial small subunit ribosomal RNA
Source: RNAcentral
GACGAACGCUGGCGGCGUGCUUAACACAUGCAAGUCGAACGGAAAGGCCCUGCUUUUGUGGGGUGCUCGAGUGGCGAACGGGUGAGUAACACGUGAGUAACCUGCCCUUGACUUUGGGAUAACUUCAGGAAACUGGGGCUAAUACCGGAUAGGAGCUCCUGCUGCAUGGUGGGGGUUGGAAAGUUUCGGCGGUUGGGGAUGGACUCGCGGCUUAUCAGCUUGUUGGUGGGGUAGUGGCUUACCAAGGCUUUGACAGGUAGCCGGCCUGAGAGGGUGACCGGCCACAUUGGGACUGAGAUACGGCCCAGACUCCUACGGGAGGCAGCGGUGGGGAAUAUUGCACAAUGGGCGGAAGCCUGAUGCAGCAACGCCGCGUGCGGGAUGACGGCCUUCGGGUUGUAAACCGCUUUCGCCUGUGACGAAGCGUGAGUGACGGUAAUGGGUAAAGAAGCACCGGCUAACUACGUG